GUGAGCGUGGCAUAGUGGCCGUGCACCAGCCUUCCAAGCUGGCGACGCGAGUUCGAUUCUCGCCGUUCACUCCA
This 74-nucleotide transfer RNA is filed under the name Mycobacterium intracellulare. Its description in RNAcentral is "tRNA-Gly". It matches the Rfam family "tRNA". Rfam says of the family: Transfer RNA (tRNA) molecules are approximately 80 nucleotides in length. Lineage: Bacteria; Bacillati; Actinomycetota; Actinomycetes; Mycobacteriales; Mycobacteriaceae. The record is from RNAcentral.